This is an RNA transcript of Anastrepha obliqua, 1504 nucleotides long. RefSeq lists it as uncharacterized. The transcript is spliced from 5 exons. NCBI's taxonomy places the organism in Eukaryota, Metazoa, Arthropoda, Insecta, Diptera, Tephritidae. The record is from RefSeq and is a predicted model, not a curated record.
UCUAAUAUGCACCAGUCAUUCAAUGUUUUUCCGCAUUUCGAGCGCUAAUUUCAAGAGAUCAACAAUACUAUUUUGUGUUCGCUUUUGUGAGCUUAAAUGGGUGAAAUUACAAAUCCAAACGAAAACUUACGCAUUCCCAAGUGGAUAAGUGCAGACUAUUUUGAAAAAGUGUUGGAGAAAGAUGGAGAGGACUAUGCAGAGAUCUCUAAGUUUACAGCGGUUGCAGCCACACCCCCAGGUGAGAACUUCACUUCCGUUAUGUUGCGCAUACACCUGGAUUUAGUUUUGAAAGAUGGGUCGAAAAAGCACAAAACGUACGUAAUGAAAACAAUGCUGGAUGACGAUUGCGGUGGCCGCGAAAUUAAGAAUUUGGAAAUGUUUCCCAAAGAAUUGGAAAUGUACGCCAAGUUCUUGCCUGCUUUCGAGAAACUGUACAAAGAUGCCGGCAAGCCAGUGAAACUCGCUCCUCGUUGCUUACUCGCAGAAGCCAGAGAUAAUCGGAUUAAUUUCGUAUUCGAGGACUUGAUCCCCAAGGGUUUCGUAAACGCUGAUCGCAAGAAGGGCUUGAAUAUGGAUGGGAUGCGUCGUACGUUACAAAAGCUGGCGGAGUUUCAUGCUGCAUCAGCGGUAUAUGCCGAAAAGAAUGGACCCUACCCCGAAAACUUCAAAUUCAGCAUCGUUAAAAAAAAUGGUUACGAAUCGUUCAAGCAAAUUUUCGACGCGAAAGUUCUUCAAUUCAAAGAAGCAAUGACAACGUGGGGCUUGAAAGAUGCUGACAAAUAUUUGGAAAAAUUUCCUACCGUUGAUCAGUAUUGGAAGUCUGUAAUGCGUGGGUUCGCUACCGCAGAGAACUCGUUCAACGUGCUGAAUCACGCCGACUGCUGGAGCAGUAAUGUGUUGUACUCGUAUCGAGAAAAUGGCACAGUUAACGAUGCACUUCUGAUCGAUUAUCAAAUUUGUAAAUGGGGUAGUCCUGCUGAGGAUUUGCUAUUUCUCAUAACGAUUUCGGCGGCGAAAGAUAUUCGCAUAAGGGAAUACGAGCAUUUUGUGGCCAUUUAUCAUGAACAUCUUACGGAAUGCCUCCAAUUGCUGGGUUACAAAAAGGAUCUGCCGAAAUUGCGAGACUUGCAAAUGGAUAUGUACCGCGAGAAUAACAGUUUCUAUGCAUUUUUUGCAGUGUUCAAUCUCUUGGCGGUCGUAUUAUUCCCCACCGAUAAAGACAGUAACAUUAAUUCGCUUCUGAGCCCGAGUGAGCAGGCUCAGCGUUUUAGGCUGAAAAUGUACACAAGUCCGGCAUUCAAGGAGGCUAUGUUGGACAUCCUGCCAUUUUAUUACAACCGUGGACUAUUCAAUUUCUGUGAUUACGAUAAUGAGUCAAAUAUGGCUUCGUAGGCAUUUUUAUGAAUCAAAUGAUUAGCGCAGAAUAUUUAUAUGGAAAAUUAGAGAUCACUACAAGGGUUGGAAUCAUGUCAACUAUGGAGCACCGUUUUUUAUGUAGCCCCCA